GGCAGGCUUAAUACAUGCAAGUCGAGGGGCAGCAGGGUGUAGCAAUACAUCGCUGGCGACCGGCAAACGGGUGCGGAACACGUACGCAACCUUCCCAAAACUGAUGAAUAGCCCUCCGAAAGGAGGAUUAAUACACCGUAACAUAAUGAAAUGGCAUCAUUUUAUUAUUAUAGCCCUCGGGCGGUUUUGGAUGGGCGUGCGCCUGAUUAGGUAGUUGGCGGGGUAACGGCCCACCAAGCCUGCGAUCAGUAACUGGUGUGAGAGCACGACCAGUCACACGGGCACUGAGACACGGGCCCGACUCCUACGGGAGGCAGCAGUAAGGAAUAUUGGUCAAUGGACGAAAGUCUGAACCAGCCAUGCCGCGUGAAGGAUGAAGGCCCUCUGGGUUGUAAACUUCUUUUAUCUGGGACGAAAAAAGGAAAUUCUUUUCCACUUGACGGUACCAGAGGAAUAAGCACCGGCUAACUCCGUGCCAGCAGCCGCGGUAAUACGGAGGGUGCAAGCGUUAUCCGGAUUUACUGGGUUUAAAGGGUGCGUAGGUGGGUAGGUAAGUCAGUGGUGAAAUCUUCGAGCUUAACUCGGAAACUGCCAUUGAUACUAUUUAUCUUGAAUAUCCUGGAGGUGAGCGGAAUAUGUCAUGUAGCGGUGAAAUGCUUAGAUAUGACAUAGAACACCCAUUGCGAAGGCAGCUCACUACGGGAUUAUUGACACUGAGGCACGAAAGCGUGGGGAUCAAACAGGAUUAGAUACCCUGGUAGUCCACGCCCUAAACGAUGGAUACUCGACAUCAGCGAUAUACUGUUGGUGUCUGAGCGAAAGCAUUAAGUAUCCCACCUGUUGAAGUACGACCGCAAAGGUUG
RNAcentral lists this ribosomal RNA (863 nucleotides) under uncultured bacterium. Its description in RNAcentral is "bacterial SSU rRNA". It matches the Rfam family "Bacterial small subunit ribosomal RNA", at positions 41 to 896 of the family's 1533-position model. The record is from RNAcentral.